CAUAAACAUUGCCUACACGUGAGACCUUCCCGGUCUGGAAGCAGGCAGCCAAUCAGAGGGAGGAAUGAGAAGAUGACAGGGUUUUAUAAACAAAGCUGGCUAAGCCAAUCAGGGAGCGGCACGGCAACAGGGAAUGUGAGAGAAGAGGUGGCCUGCGCAUCGUGACUGUGCUUAUGGGGUAUGAAGCUGUGGGGCACUGAUGGCUCGUGCAUGCUUCUUCACAUGCGCCUUCUUUUCUCGGUGAGGGAUACAAGUCAGCUGCGAGUCCGCAAGUAUGUCAGCAGGGAUGCGGGAGGCGGUGCCUUGCCUUCCAUGCCUUAAAGCCACACAGAAUACUGAAGAUGCCGGGCCAAACUUGCGCAAGCGUCCACAGCAUCAGAGAGCGUGCAGCAACCUACCAACAGGGCUCAAAGGCCCAGACUCUGCAGGGGCUCUUCCGAUGGGACAUUUGCUAAAAAGAAACUCCAAAGCUGCCAGAACUGCAGGCAGUGAAGGACGCCUUGCUUUACCCAUGCACGGUGCCCUGCAGGCUCUUGUGCGUGCUCUCUGGGGCCUGCAGCUUCCCUCAGGACACAUCGACCCGCGCCGGCGUGCUCUCUUCCAAGGGUUGCGCUGCAUUAGAAUUUUGAUUCUGGCGCCAGAACCACCCCCUGCUCUUCCUCCUCCUCCUGCUCCUCCUCCCGUUCCUCCUCCUGCUCCUCCUCUUGCUCGUCCUGACCCCCCAAAGCCUUCCUCCCCCUCCUUCCUCCCGCUCCGACUCUCACCUUGGCCUUUGCACAGCUGUUUCUCACACUUUCUCCUCCUCACUCCCCACUGCUGAGCAGCAGGUUGCCCUGUUUGGC
Non-coding RNA from Anas platyrhynchos (mallard), 842 nucleotides. The record is from RefSeq and is a predicted model, not a curated record. NCBI's taxonomy places the organism in Eukaryota, Metazoa, Chordata, Aves, Anseriformes, Anatidae.